This 532-nucleotide long non-coding RNA is filed under the name Lactuca sativa (garden lettuce). RNAcentral's name for it is "long non-coding RNA (LSAT_LNC004309)". The record is from RNAcentral. Lineage: Eukaryota; Viridiplantae; Streptophyta; Magnoliopsida; Asterales; Asteraceae.
CCUUUCUAGUUUCUACUCCAUCGUCCUUUCUGCUACCUCUUGAUCUGCAACAAAAGAUUUUGAUUUGCAAAAAUCGCCUGGUGUUCUCCCCUCCACCAUUGAAGAAGCCGCCACUGGUUUCAACGUCUCUGCCAGCUUCUUCGUCGCCGCCAGCUACUCCGACUAUUGCAGGUAAGGUUUUCUUUUAUUAUUUCCCGUUAAAAACCAUUCUUAGCACAUACAUCAAUUUCUUCUUCUUUCUUUUUUUCUUUGAAUUAUAUCAUUUUUUUUGCAAUGAAAAACAACUCUCAGUAGAUAUAUCAAUUUUUUCUUCUUAUUUGCACUGUAUUUGAUUAUCAUUAUCGCUGGUGGUGUUUGUUUAUUUCCGAUGAUGCACACUGCUAUUCUAUACAAAUGGGUGUUUGAGUUUACAAAACGUAGGGUUGUGUUCAUGUACACAUUUAAAGUCGUUCAAGGGUCUAGAGGAUUGUGCAAACACUUUUGGUGCUGCAAGUAUUUGGAGGUGGAGGUAUAUGAGGAUUGGUGCUGCAAG